CUCACUGGUUUAGACCUGUGUGCCGUGGU
Molecule: non-coding RNA, 29 nt
Filed under: Rattus norvegicus (Norway rat)
Lineage: Eukaryota; Metazoa; Chordata; Mammalia; Rodentia; Muridae
Source: RNAcentral